Molecule: ribosomal RNA, 468 nt
Filed under: uncultured bacterium
Lineage: Bacteria
Description: partial 16S ribosomal RNA
Rfam family: Bacterial small subunit ribosomal RNA
Source: RNAcentral
GACGAACGCUGGCGGCGUGCUUAACACAUGCAAGUCGAACGGAAAGGCCCUGCUUUUGUGGGGUGCUCGAGUGGCGAACGGGUGAGUAACACGUGAGUAACCUGCCCUUGACUUUGGGAUAACUUCAGGAAACUGGGGCUAAUACCGGAUAGGAGCUCCUGCUGCAUGGUGGGGGUUGGAAAGUUUCGGCGGUUGGGGAUGGACUCGCGGCUUAUCAGCUUGUUGGUGGGGUAGUUGCUUACCAAGGCUUUGACGGGUAGCCGGCCUGAGAGGGUUACCGGCCACAUGGGGACUGAGAGACGGCGCAGACUGCUACGGGAGGCAGCAGUGGGGAAUAUUGCACAAUGGGCGGAAGCCUGAUGCAGAAACGCCGCGUGCGGGAUGACGGCCUUCGGGUUGUAAACCGAUUUCGCCUGUGACGAAGCGUGAGUGACGGUAAUGGGUAAAGAAGCACCGGCUAACUACGUG